GACGAACGCUGGCGGCGUGCUCAACACAUGCAAGUCGAACGAUAAGGCGGUUUCGGCCGGGGGAGAGGGGCGCAGGGGAGUGUAACACGUGGGAAAUCCGCCCUACACUCGGGGAUACGCGCGGGAAAGGGGGUCAUAUCCAGGAUACGCACGUCCGAGGCAGCGUGGGGUGGGGAGAGUUUCCGCGGUGGGGGAUGAGCCCGCGGCCUAUCGGCUUGUUGGUGGGGUAAUGGCCUACCAAGGCGACGACGGGUAGCCGGCCUGAGAGGGUGACCGGCCACACUGGGACUGAGACACGGCCCAGACUCCUACGGGAGGCAGCAGUGGGGAAUAUUGCACAAUGGGCGCAAGCCUGAUGCAGCGACGCCGCGUGAGGGAUGACGGCCUUCGGGUUGUAAACCUCUUUCAGCAGGGAAGAAGCGAAAGUGACGGUACCUGCAGAAGAAGCACCGGCUAACUACGUG
Molecule: ribosomal RNA, 464 nt
Filed under: uncultured bacterium
Lineage: Bacteria
Description: partial 16S ribosomal RNA
Rfam family: Bacterial small subunit ribosomal RNA
Source: RNAcentral